GUUUCUUUCCCUUCAGAACAUUCAAUAAAAUUAGAACUAUACAAAGAAGAUAAGCACGAUCUCUAUACAAGGAUGACACGGAUAAAUCGAAAAAUGUAACCUGUUUCU
Molecule: small nuclear RNA, 108 nt
Filed under: Olea europaea subsp. europaea
Lineage: Eukaryota; Viridiplantae; Streptophyta; Magnoliopsida; Lamiales; Oleaceae
Source: RNAcentral